Molecule: ribosomal RNA, 546 nt
Filed under: Clonostachys rhizophaga
Lineage: Eukaryota; Fungi; Ascomycota; Sordariomycetes; Hypocreales; Bionectriaceae
Description: eukaryotic LSU rRNA
Rfam family: 5.8S ribosomal RNA (bases 164-317)
Source: RNAcentral
GUGGGCUAUCCGAGUUUAAACUCCAACCCAUGUGAACAUACCUAUUGUUGCUUCGGCGGGACUGCCCCGGGCGCCUCGUGUGCCCCGGAUCAGGCGCCCGCCUAGGAAACUCAACUCUUGUUUUAUUUUGGAAUCUUCUGAGUAGUUUUUACAAAUAAAUAAAAACUUUCAACAACGGAUCUCUUGGUUCUGGCAUCGAUGAAGAACGCAGCGAAAUGCGAUAAGUAAUGUGAAUUGCAGAAUUCAGUGAAUCAUCGAAUCUUUGAACGCACAUUGCGCCCGCCAGUAUUCUGGCGGGCAUGCCUGUCUGAGCGUCAUUUCAACCCUCAUGCCCCUAGGGCGUGGUGUUGGGGAUCGGCCAAAGCCCGCGAGGGACGGCCGGCCCCUAAAUCUAGUGGCGGACCCGUCGUGGCCUCCUCUGCGAAGUAGUGAUAUUCCGCAUCGGAGAGCGACGAGCCCCUGCCGUUAAACCCCCAACUUUCCAAGGUUGACCUCAGAUCAGGUAGGAAUACCCGCUGAACUUAAGCAUAUCAAAAGGCGGAGGAA